AUUGUGUGAAUACAUAGCACAUUCGAGGUAGACGCAGAGAACUGAAACAUCUAAGUACCUGCAGGAAGAGAAAGAAAAUUCGAUUCCCUGAGUAGCGGCGAGCGAAACGGGAAAAGCCCAAACCAGCAAGCUUGCUUGUUGGGGUUGUAGGACUCCAAUAUGGUAGUUCUUUCAGAUAGUCGAAUGACUUGGAAAAGUCAGUCAAAGAGGGUAAAAACCCCGUAGACGAAAUGUGGAAGACACCUAGGAGGAUCCUGAGUACGGCGGAACACGAGAAAUUCCGUCGGAAUCCGGGAGGACCAUCUCCCAAGGCUAAAUACUCCCUAGUGACCGAUAGUGAACCAGUACCGUGAGGGAAAGGUGAAAAGCACCCCGGAAGGGGAGUGAAAUAGAACCUGAAACCGUGUGCCUACAACAAGUCAAAGCCCGUUAAUGGGUGAUGGCGUGCCUUUUGUAGAAUGAACCGGCGAGUUACGAUUGCAUGCGAGGUUAAGUUGAAGAGACGGAGCCGCAGCGAAAGCGAGUCUGAAUAGGGCGUUUGAGUAUGUAGUCGUAGACCCGAAACCAUGUGAUCUACCCAUGUCCAGGUUGAAGGUGCGGUAAAACGCACUGGAGGACCGAACCCACGUACGUUGAAAAGUGCGGGGAUGAGG
Molecule: ribosomal RNA, 653 nt
Filed under: Enterococcus faecium
Lineage: Bacteria; Bacillati; Bacillota; Bacilli; Lactobacillales; Enterococcaceae
Description: partial 23S ribosomal RNA
Rfam family: Bacterial large subunit ribosomal RNA
Source: RNAcentral